UUUUGGGGGACGGUGACUUGAAGAGGGGAUUGUUGAACCAAUUGGUUUUGGUGGUCUUUCACUUGAAGGAUGAUGAGAUCCAGUUGGUUUUGGUGGUCGUUGACUUAAAGGUUGAGGAUGGAGAGAGUCAGUUGGUUUUGGAGGUGGUUGACUUGAUUUAAAAUUUUUUGUUCAUUAAUAUCAUUAUAAUAGUGAUUAUAUUUUAUG
Molecule: long non-coding RNA, 207 nt
Organism: Cotesia glomerata
Lineage: Eukaryota; Metazoa; Arthropoda; Insecta; Hymenoptera; Braconidae
Exons: 2
Source: RefSeq, a predicted model, not a curated record